RNAcentral lists this ribosomal RNA (253 nucleotides) under uncultured bacterium. RNAcentral's name for it is "partial 16S ribosomal RNA". It matches the Rfam family "Bacterial small subunit ribosomal RNA", at positions 524 to 776 of the family's 1533-position model. The record is from RNAcentral.
UACGGAGGGGGCUAGCGUUAUUCGGAAUUACUGGGCGUAAAGCGCACGUAGGCGGACCAGAAAGUCAGAGGUGAAAGCCCGGGGCUCAACCCCGGAACGGCCUUUGAAACUCCUGGUCUUGAGGUCGAGAGAGGUGAGUGGGAUUCCGAGUGUAGAGGUGAAAUUCGUAGAUAUUCGGAGGAACACCAGUGGCGAAGGCGGCUCACUGGCUCGAUACUGACGCUGAGGUGCGAAAGCGUGGGGAGCAAACAGG